This 87-nucleotide transfer RNA is filed under the name Clostridium aestuarii. RNAcentral's name for it is "tRNA-Leu". It matches the Rfam family "tRNA". Rfam says of the family: Transfer RNA (tRNA) molecules are approximately 80 nucleotides in length. Lineage: Bacteria; Bacillati; Bacillota; Clostridia; Eubacteriales; Clostridiaceae. The record is from RNAcentral.
GCCGAAGUGGUGGAAUUGGCAGACGCAACGGACUCAAAAUCCGUCGGUAGUGAUAUCGUGCGGGUUCAAGUCCCGCCUUCGGCACCA